This 497-nucleotide ribosomal RNA is filed under the name uncultured bacterium. Its description in RNAcentral is "partial 16S ribosomal RNA". It matches the Rfam family "Bacterial small subunit ribosomal RNA", at positions 28 to 507 of the family's 1533-position model. The record is from RNAcentral.
GAUGAACGCUGGCGGCGUGCCUAAUACAUGCAAGUCGAGCGAACAGACGAGGAGCUUGCUCCUCUGACGUUAGCGGCGGACGGGUGAGUAACACGUGGAUAACCUACCUAUAAGACUGGGAUAACUUCGGGAAACCGGAGCUAAUGCCGGAUAAUAUAUUGAACCGCAUGGUUCAAUAGUGAAAGACGGUUUUGCUGUCACUUAUAGAUGGAUCCGCGCCGCAUUAGCUAGUUGGUAAGGUAACGGCUUACCAAGGCAACGAUGCGUAGCCGACCUGAGAGGGUGAUCGGCCACACUGGAACUGAGACACGGUCCAGACUCCUACUGGAGGCAGCAGUAGGGAAUCUUCCGCAAUGGGCGAAAGCCUGACGGAGCAACGCCGCGUGAGUGAUGAAGGUCUUCGGAUCGUAAAACUCUGUUAUUAGGGAAGAACAAAUGUGUAAGUAACUAUGCACGUCUUGACGGUACCUAAUCAGAAAGCCACGGCUAACUACGUG